GAGCUGGAACCAGUUGUGAAUUGAAGGAUGCCAAGCAUCUGCUGAACAGCAAGAAAACAAUCAAACUGGUGAAAAUUGCAGCUUGACAUGGCACAGGGAGAGGACCACAGAACUGGAAGGCAGGAGGCCUGGUCAAGGAACUGGUUUUGGAUCCAGAGGAACAAUGCUCCUCGUGUUUGGAAUUCUACAGAAGAGAGUGUUCCUGUGACCUGGCUUCCAUGUUGGACUCGGACACCAAGGCCUGGAUUCACCACCACUCCACCACUGCAGCGGGAGCUCAAGGAGUCUCAGCUUAUUUCUUAGGAAAUUACCUCCAGGCCUGCCAAAGUCACAGAGAGCUGUGGGAUUUCACUCGUCUUUGCAUGUGGAACACUUGAACAUCCCUCGUGAUUUUCUUCACUCCUAUUUACUGAAGAGAAAACAGAAGAUCUGGGAAAGAUCUGGGCUGCUUGCCUCUGGUCUCUUGUCUGCCCUGCUGGCAAGCAUCCAGGUGACAGUUCCAGGAAUGAGGCUGGGGACUGUGAACAGAUCCAUACCUGCUGCUUCAGUUCAGUUCAGUUCAGUCGCUCAGUCGUGUCCAACUCUUUGCGACCCCAUGAAUCGCAGCACGCCAGACCUCCCUGUCCAUCACCAACUCCUGGAGUUCACUCAAACUCAUGUGCAUCGAGUUGGUGAUGCCAUCCAGCCAUCUCAUCCUCUGUCGUCCCCUUCUCCUCCUGCCCCCAACCCCUCCCAGCAUCAGGGUCUUUUCCAAUGA
This 757-nucleotide long non-coding RNA is filed under the name Bos indicus x Bos taurus (hybrid cattle). RNAcentral's name for it is "lncRNA (ENSBIXG00000023119.1)". Lineage: Eukaryota; Metazoa; Chordata; Mammalia; Artiodactyla; Bovidae. The record is from RNAcentral.